AUUUGCUGAUGCUGCCGAAGGCAUCGUUCUGUUUUGGACUGGAAUGCUCCGCUGUUUUUCUUCUCCACAGCUCAAAUGAGGCAUGGUGUGGUAUAUACUGUGCACAGAGGGUGACAACACUUUCUGGCAGCAGAAUGGAAGGACAAAGCUCAAGAUGAAGGCAGGCCAGUGCCAGAACUCAGCUGCUUUUCCCCAGUGUCCAGCUAUAGCAUGCGCAAAGACCCGUGCCACCUGAAAAAGAACAGCUUUACCAAAACUGAACAGAAGAUUCACGCCUUCUCUUAAAAACAUCUGUUUAACCAUUGUACACAGGUAAGGAGAUCUAAUCAUUGGAACUGAGCAUCAGGAGACCUGCAUUCUGAAUCUGACUAUUGAUCAGAUGCAUCUUUGCAUAAAUCAUAAAUCUAUUUCGAACAUCAGAAAAGAAGGGGAUAGAAUUAUUCUGCAAUAGGACAUUUAUGCUAGAGCCAGCGCAAACUGGUUUAAAAAAGGAUUCAAGAAGAUUGUCAAUCUAACGGCCAGAUAGAAGGCUGGUGAAUAGAGAGGCGGACAAAGCUUAACGGUUGCAAAACUUUACUUACGCCGCUUGUAGCUGCAACGCAGACGGUCCGGUCGUCUGAACAACUGCACUAGUUGUUCCAGCUGGCAGGGCUCAGGCCAGCUCGUCCAUC
Molecule: long non-coding RNA, 671 nt
Organism: Alligator mississippiensis (American alligator)
Lineage: Eukaryota; Metazoa; Chordata; Crocodylia; Alligatoridae
Exons: 6
Source: RefSeq, a predicted model, not a curated record